Molecule: long non-coding RNA, 260 nt
Filed under: Ananas comosus (pineapple)
Lineage: Eukaryota; Viridiplantae; Streptophyta; Magnoliopsida; Poales; Bromeliaceae
Description: long non-coding RNA (ACOM_LNC037224)
Source: RNAcentral
AAUUUGAAGCAGCUCUUUUGGCUUUUUUGUAUUAAAAAGACGGAGUUGUGAUGAGACCAAUGAAAUAAAAUUGAGCAUUAGCAGAUAAAUAAAGUGUAAGAUUUAUGUUCAAUUUUAGGUGUACAGCCAGCAUUGCUCAAAAGCUUUUUAUAGAAAACACUCUUUUCUAUGAUUUUUGUUUUCCAUAUAAAAAAUCUGAAAAAUAAAAACACUAUUUUGGUAAAAAAAAAUACAAAAACUUUCGAAAGAAAUUAUUUUUU